Molecule: transfer RNA, 72 nt
Filed under: Ovis aries (sheep)
Lineage: Eukaryota; Metazoa; Chordata; Mammalia; Artiodactyla; Bovidae
Rfam family: tRNA
About the family: Transfer RNA (tRNA) molecules are approximately 80 nucleotides in length. Their secondary structure includes four short double-helical elements and three loops (D, anti-codon, and T loops).
Source: Rfam by way of RNAcentral
ACCCUGGUGGCUCAGAUGGUAAAGCAUCUGCCUGCAAUUCAGGAGACCCAGGUUCGAUCCCUGGGUGGGGAA